Molecule: ribosomal RNA, 495 nt
Filed under: uncultured bacterium
Lineage: Bacteria
Description: partial 16S ribosomal RNA
Rfam family: Bacterial small subunit ribosomal RNA
Source: RNAcentral
GACGAACGCUGGCGGCGUGCCUAAUACAUGCAAGUAGAACGCUGAAGGAGGAGCUUGCUUCUCUGGAUGAGUUGCGAACGGGUGAGUAACGCGUAGGUAACCUGCCUGGUAGCGGGGGAUAACUAUUGGAAACGAUAGCUAAUACCGCAUAAUAGCAGUUGUUGCAUGACAACUGUUUGAAAGGUGCAAUUGCACCACUACCAGAUGGACCUGCGUUGUAUUAGCUAGUUGGUGGGGUAACGGCUCACCAAGGCGACGAUACAUAGCCGAACUGAGAUGGUGAUCGGCCACACUGGGACUGAGACACGGCCCAGACUCCUACGGGAGGCAGCAGUAGGGAAUCGUCGGCAAUGGACGGAAGUCUGACCGAGCAACGCCGCGUGAGGGAAGAAGGUUUUCGGAUCGUAAAGCUCUGUUGUAAGAGAAGAACGAGUGUGAGAGUGGAAAGUUCACACUGUGACGGUAUCUUACCAGAAAGGGACGGCUAACUACGUG